AUUGAACGCUGGCGGCAGGCUUAACACAUGCAAGUCGAGCGGUAACAGGGGUAGCUUGCUACCCGCUGACGAGCGGCGGACGGGUGAGUAAUGCUUAGGAAUCUGCCCAGUAGUGGGGGAUAGCCCGGGGAAACCCGGAUUAAUACCGCAUACGUCCUACGGGAGAAAGCAGGGGAUCUUCGGACCUUGCGCUAUUGGAUGAGCCUAAGUCGGAUUAGCUAGUUGGUGGGGUAAAGGCCUACCAAGGCGACGAUCCGUAGCUGGUCUGAGAGGAUGAUCAGCCACAUCGGGACUGAGACACGGCCCGAACUCCUACGGGAGGCAGCAGUGGGGAAUAUUGGACAAUGGGGGCAACCCUGAUCCAGCCAUGCCGCGUGUGUGAAGAAGGCUUUCGGGUUGUAAAGCACUUUCAGUAGGGAGGAAAACCUUAUGGCUAAUACCCAUGAGGCUUGACGUUACCUACAGAAGAAGCACCGGCUAACUCCGUGCCAGCCGCCGCGGUAAU
RNAcentral lists this ribosomal RNA (505 nucleotides) under uncultured bacterium. RNAcentral describes it as "bacterial SSU rRNA". It matches the Rfam family "Bacterial small subunit ribosomal RNA", at positions 30 to 524 of the family's 1533-position model. The record is from RNAcentral.